RNAcentral lists this long non-coding RNA (211 nucleotides) under Carica papaya (papaya). Its description in RNAcentral is "long non-coding RNA (CPAP_LNC008743)". The record is from RNAcentral. Lineage: Eukaryota; Viridiplantae; Streptophyta; Magnoliopsida; Brassicales; Caricaceae.
AAAAAAAACUAAUGAAGCUCUUGCUUUAUUUAAAUACGUUUAAACUUAAAGACAUUUUUUUAAUACUGACCAUAGCGAGUUUUUCAAAGAUAAUUUAUGAAAACCCAUAUCCAUAUCACUUUUCAUUUUCACGCAUAAAAAAACGAGAAACAAUAGUUUUCCUUUUUUAUCUGUUUACUGGUACCCUUGGGAGUCCAUUGGGAUGUCCCUU